Molecule: transfer-messenger RNA, 359 nt
Filed under: Pseudomonadales
Lineage: Bacteria; Pseudomonadati; Pseudomonadota; Gammaproteobacteria
Also listed under: 2 other names
Description: UBA11889 sp002708205 Standard tmRNA
Rfam family: transfer-messenger RNA
About the family: Bacterial tmRNA, also known as 10Sa RNA or SsrA, is named for its dual tRNA and mRNA-like properties.
Source: RNAcentral
GGGGGCGACAUGGCUUCGACGGCGGUUACAAAAUCAUUGAGUGCAUGCCGAGAGGGUAGUAACUCUCGUAAAACAAUUGCUGCAACUAUAUUUAGUUGCCAACGACGAAAACUACGCACUAGCAGCCUAAAUUACCUGCUAACCCUGGUCGUUUGGGGCCCGUGACGGGCGCCCGGGGGCAUGUUUCGCGGGAUCGCAUGAGACACUGUCUCGAUGUUGAUUGCUAAAACUAAAGAGGCUCGUCCAUUGCACCCUGUUCAUCGGGUCGCUAUUGGACUAGAUCAAUAGAUGAAACUAAGCAUGUAGACCUUGUGAUGGAGUACUGACGGACGCGGGUUCGAUUCCCGCCGCCUCCACCA